This is a non-coding RNA of Anas platyrhynchos (mallard), 1945 nucleotides long. The record is from RefSeq and is a predicted model, not a curated record. NCBI's taxonomy places the organism in Eukaryota, Metazoa, Chordata, Aves, Anseriformes, Anatidae.
UCCAUGGGCCGUAGCCUCCUCUGGGCCACAUCCACCUGCUCCACCGAGGGCCUCCCUUACAGGCUGCAUGGGAACUUCUCCUUCUGGGCAUGGACUUUCUGCACCUUGGGGUCUGCAGGGCUGUUUCUCUUGUUUCUCGAUCCUUUUUCCUUGCUGCUGUAGUGCAGCACUUUUUCCCUUUCCUAAAUAUGCUUUCACAGUGGCGCAGCUAGCAGCACUCUCUGGCUUUGCUCUCACCAGCAGAAGGUCGCUUUGAGUCAUCUGGAGUUGGCUCGUUGGGGCAGCUUGUGGACUUCUCUCACAGAGGCCCUCCCCUGCAGCGCUCCCCUACCAAAACCUUGCCAUAUAAACCAAAUACAUGGGCUUUAUAUAGACUGCACUUUAUUUUUAAUACUACCACGACAAAGUGUUACAAAAACAUGUGUUUUAAAUAGCUUCACAAAUCCAGUUUGCUAGAAAGCAGAUCUCCAACACUCUCCAAUAUUUAUCUCACCUAAUAUAAGUCAUCUAAACUAGUUUGAGAUAAAUGUCUAAGGUCCCCCUCAAUAUCUACAGCAGAUAUAUCAAAAACAUGCAGAGGGCAAGUCAUCCCAGAGGAUUCUAAAUUAAAAAUCUAACCAGAAAAGAAAAAUCAGCUUUCAGAGAUGUUUGUCUCUUCAGUAAUUACAAAAAAAAAAAAAAAAAAAAUAAAAAAAAAUCUAUAAAUAGUUAAAACUCUUUUAGACUAAAUUAGUUGUCUAUCUAAUGGUUAGUUGACUAAGUUUGGAUGAGAUGGAUAUCAGAAAAAACUAGCAAAUCAAAUAACUAGCACCUCAAAUUGAUAAAUAAUGGUGCCCAGCCAGCUAUUGGUUGCCUUUCACUGUAGCCAGGCAAAUUUGAUUAAUUAUAAUUAAUGCAAUAAAAACUGAGUCCUGCAGCUUAUUAAUCAUUUCAGAACCUGCAGGGUAAUACUCAUACAGUGCUCAGUAUUACUUGUCCACACGUUGUAUAUUUACAACUACUCUUGUUAAAAGUUUAUCAUUGAAGACAUGAGCGAACAGUUUUCCUCCUGAAAGGUCUUUGUGAAAGAUAAGUUCCUUCAUCUAAUGGUAAAACCACCAAGACAAGGUUAUGGAGAAAACAAUGUGUUCAACACUAUCUUGAAAUUCAGUUUCAUAAUUAGCUUUGCUUACAGCUGUAUCUGGGAUCACUGAAAAAAUAAAUAAAAGUCACACAGCUUUUGGCUUUUGGGAAAAACCUCUGUGCUUCCCUUCCCUUUGUUCUUAGCAUGUUCAUCCCACUCUGUUAAUCAUACUAUGCAUUACCAAUUCCACCCAAAGACUGUGUGAGAACUGGAGAUUCAUAACUUUUGACAAAAUCCCUGGGAGGUUGCAAUGCAUACUGCCAAAAGGAGAGAAACAGAAUGAAUGAAAUCAAUGAAGAUGCCUGCAGAGAAAUGUUUAAACUGUACAAUGGUAGCACAAUUACAGUCUAAAUAAAUGUAUGGCAAUAAGAUACUAAUCAUAUAUAAUGCAAUGAUUUCUAGAAUCAUGUUUUUUUCUGCAAGGAGAACCCUAUGUUUAAACAAAGCACUAAUCUCUAUAGUAAGAGAAAAAAAGUGGAUACUUGUGAUGCUGGCGAGAAGACCAUUGUGUAUGGAGGUGUUACACUGCCUGGGUGGUUUUGCCUUUAUGUAACAGUGCAGCACAAAGUUCACCCAAGAGCAUUGAUUCUGUUUGACUGUAUAAAUGAUAAAUAGAGCUGUUUUCUUGUAUGAAAAUCCUGUAAUAGCUUGAAAGACGAAAAGGGGAUAAUAAUUGAUGGGGUCUGUAUGGUGUGCUGCACAUGGAUCAGAGUCCUGUUCGAUGCUACACAGCUCGGGGCUCCCAGCUUCUAAAGGGGCACAAGAUUAUCUAUGUUGUUCUCUUCUUAUAGCCUUAGUGCAAAUAAAUAGCACUUUAAAUGG